UCAGUCUCCAGGGUGUCCAGAGAAGGCAAACAGUGUUCCUCAGCUGUCCUCACCUGUGACUGCAAGCCGAGCUGUUGAGAUGUAUAGAGAUCGUCCUAGGGAGAAAACGAGUGGUUGGAGCACUGCUCUGAGUAGUGCUCUAUUGCCGAAGAGCCAGCAAGUCCCAUCUGCCACCACCACCCUCCUGUGAAUGAAAUGGCUGCAAAAAAAAAGUUCUGGGAGGCAAUUCACACGCAGAAGUUAUUCUUGAAGGGAUGAUGUUUGCGGAGCUGGGAACACUGACUCACUCCUGCCGUCCUCGCAGGCUCCAAGGCRUGAUGCAGAGGAGACAAGCUGAGGAUGGAGAGAAACUUAACAAACCUGCCCUAGAGAAACCAAGUACUCUAAAGUAGCCCACAAAAAUUUCAGCCUGUUCCAUGCUGAAAAUAGGGCUYGGGCCCUUGUAGGGCAGAGACUCGUCAGGAAGGCCUCCACGGCCCUGGCACGCUGGACAGGGGAGUCUGCAAGUCUCUGGUUUGUGUCAGCUGUUUGUGUGCCCCAGGGGACACUGCACUGACCUUAUUGCGUCUGGUCGCUCUCGCUACCAACUACAGGGCUCCUCGGCGGGAUUAAAAGUGGAUUUUUCAGC
This 628-nucleotide long non-coding RNA is filed under the name Dromaius novaehollandiae (emu). RNAcentral's name for it is "lncRNA (ENSDNVG00000001210.1)". The record is from RNAcentral. Lineage: Eukaryota; Metazoa; Chordata; Aves; Casuariiformes; Dromaiidae.